GAAUUACUCCUUCCGUCCACAAAAGAUGUCUCAAGUUUGUCAAAAUUUAGAUGUAUUUAAACAUGACUUAGUGUAUAGAUGCAUUCAAAUUUAGUCAAAAUUGAGACAUCGUUUUUUGGACGGAGGAAUAUGAU
Molecule: non-coding RNA, 134 nt
Organism: Brachypodium distachyon (stiff brome)
Lineage: Eukaryota; Viridiplantae; Streptophyta; Magnoliopsida; Poales; Poaceae
Source: Rfam